ACAAGUUCAGAAGGAAAUAAAGAACAGAGAAACCUGCUUCUUGUGGCUAAGCUACUAAAAAAGGGAAAUCCUCUGUUCUUUGAAUUUAAAGCACUAGAAAUCUGGAGUGGAGCCAUGAACGAAAACCUAUAGUGAAUUCAUGAGGAUUUGUGCUUCCGCCAGAAAGAUUUGCAACAGGGUUGAAAAGCAUUUUUAGUUGCUGCAUCCUCCCAUUGUAGUUCUUUCCACCAGUCUUCAUUUCCUUCAAUGAUGAUUUUUCGUUCUUUGGCACUAUCAGAGUUGAGUGGGAGUUUCUUAAGCUUUGGGCAGUUAUAUACGUAGAUUCUGUUUAGACAUGAGCAUGGAAGACGUUGCCAUGGAUGCUAUUCAUUCAUCGCAAAUGAGAUAAAUAAAGAACUUCGAGUCUUCUAAAUGGAAUCAGAUUUUUCGCCUCUGGAACUUCCCUCAGUCUUUCUGCGCUGAUUAUUUCUUCUAUUUCAAAGCACAAUGACACUCUAAGAAUAGUUAGAUUUGGAGCUAAAAGAACCCAUGACAAGUGCUCCAGUUUGGAGCAGUUGUCAACAUAUAAUCUGUGAAGACUGUUGAAGAAUCUCUUGCUUAUGAUCCCCGAGUUUCGGAGAUUCUGAGAUGCUUGUAUGUUUUUUGCUUCCCUG
This 653-nucleotide unclassified non-coding RNA is filed under the name Hevea brasiliensis (rubber tree). The record is from RNAcentral. Lineage: Eukaryota; Viridiplantae; Streptophyta; Magnoliopsida; Malpighiales; Euphorbiaceae.